RNAcentral lists this ribosomal RNA (465 nucleotides) under Vreelandella stevensii. RNAcentral's name for it is "partial 16S ribosomal RNA". It matches the Rfam family "Bacterial small subunit ribosomal RNA", at positions 338 to 795 of the family's 1533-position model. Lineage: Bacteria; Pseudomonadati; Pseudomonadota; Gammaproteobacteria; Oceanospirillales; Halomonadaceae. The record is from RNAcentral.
CCUACGGGGGGCAGCAGUGGGGAAUAUUGGACAAUGGGGGGAACCCUGAUCCAGCCAUGCCGCGUGUGUGAAGAAGGCCCUCGGGUUGUAAAGCACUUUCAGUGAGGAAGAACGCCUGGUGGUUAAUACCCAUCAGGAAAGACAUCACUCACAGAAGAAGCACCGGCUAACUCCGUGCCAGCAGCCGCGGUAAUACGGAGGGUGCGAGCGUUAAUCGGAAUUACUGGGCGUAAAGCGCGCGUAGGUGGCUUGAUAAGCCGGUUGUGAAAGCCCCGGGCUCAACCGGGGAACGGCAUCCGGAACUGUCAAGCUAGAGUGCAGGAGAGGAAGGUAGAAUUCCCGGUGUAGCGGUGAAAUGCGUAGAGAUCGGGAGGAAUACCAGUGGCGAAGGCGGCCUUCUGGACUGACACUGACACUGAGGUGCGAAAGCGUGGGUAGCAAACAGGAUUAGAUACCCGAGUAGUC